UAAACAACUUAAACCGGGGUAGUACGAAGUUAUUAUCUUGAAACCCAAAGAGUUUGGCGGUAUCCCAGCCUAGUUAGAGGAGCUUGUUCAUUAAUCGAUAAUCCGCGAAAAAUCUUACGUGCUUUAGAAAUCAGUUUAUAUACCGUCGUUAUUAGAUAAUACUAAAAGGUGAAUAAUUGUCUAAAUAUAAUAAUUUAUAGUAUAUCAGAUCAAGGUGUAACUUAUAGGCGCGAGUUAGAAUGAGCUACAAUUUAUUAAUAUAAACAACGAAAAUUUAUCUAAAAAGAUUGAUUAGAAGGUGGAUUUAAUAGUAACUUUGGAUUUAAUAAGCCAAGGUGGUAUAAGCUCUGGGAUAUGU
Molecule: ribosomal RNA, 358 nt
Filed under: Hemisquilla ensigera
Lineage: Eukaryota; Metazoa; Arthropoda; Malacostraca; Stomatopoda; Hemisquillidae
Description: partial 12S ribosomal RNA
Rfam family: Bacterial small subunit ribosomal RNA
Source: RNAcentral